GACGAACCGUGCGAACGUUAUUCGGAAUCAUUGGGCUUAAAGCGCGCGUAGGUGGCUUCGUAAGUCCGUUGUGAAAGUCAAAGGCUCAACCUUUGAAUGCCGAUGGAUACUGCGAAGCUAGAGUACGGAAGAGGCGAGUGGAAUUCCUGGUGUAGCGGUGGAAUGCGCAGAUAUCAGGAGGAACACCAAUAGCGAAGGCAGCUCGCUGGGACGUUACUGACACUAAGGCGCGAAAGCGUGGGGAGCGAACAGG
RNAcentral lists this ribosomal RNA (253 nucleotides) under uncultured bacterium. Its description in RNAcentral is "partial 16S ribosomal RNA". It matches the Rfam family "Bacterial small subunit ribosomal RNA", at positions 524 to 776 of the family's 1533-position model. The record is from RNAcentral.